Molecule: ribosomal RNA, 253 nt
Filed under: uncultured bacterium
Lineage: Bacteria
Description: partial 16S ribosomal RNA
Rfam family: Bacterial small subunit ribosomal RNA
Source: RNAcentral
GACGAACCGAGCGAACGUUGUUCGGAAUCACUGGGCUUAAAGGGCGCGUAGGCGGGUGUGUAAGUCUGCGGUGAAAUCCUCCAGCUUAACUGGAGAAGUGCUGUGGAUACUGCUCAUCUUGAGGAGGGUAGGGGCAUCUGGAACGGUCGGUGGAGCGGUGAAAUGCGUUGAUAUCGACCGGAACUCCGGUGGCGAAGGCGAGGUGCUGGACCCUUUCUGACGCUGAGGCGCGAAAGCCAGGGGAGCAAACGGG